UACGGAGGGUGCAAGCGUUGCUCGGAAUUAUUGGGCGUAAAGGGUAGGUAGGUGGUCUUAUUUGUCUGAGGUGAAAUCCUUGAGCUUAACUCAAGAAGUGCCUCAGAAACGGUGAGACUGGAGUCCUGGAGAGGGUCGUGGAAUUCCCGGUGUAGCGGUGAAAUGCGUAGAGAUCGGGAGGAACACCAGAGGCGAAAGCGGCGACCUGGACAGGUACUGACACUCAACUACGAAAGCGUGGGGAGCAAACAGG
Molecule: ribosomal RNA, 253 nt
Filed under: uncultured bacterium
Lineage: Bacteria
Description: partial 16S ribosomal RNA
Rfam family: Bacterial small subunit ribosomal RNA
Source: RNAcentral